This 427-nucleotide ribosomal RNA is filed under the name uncultured Parachlamydiaceae bacterium. RNAcentral describes it as "partial 16S ribosomal RNA". It matches the Rfam family "Bacterial small subunit ribosomal RNA", at positions 355 to 774 of the family's 1533-position model. The record is from RNAcentral. Lineage: Bacteria; Pseudomonadati; Chlamydiota; Chlamydiia; Parachlamydiales; Parachlamydiaceae.
UCGAGAAUCUUUCGCAAUGGACGCAAGUCUGACGAAGCGACGCCGUGUGUGCGAUGAAGGCCUUCGGGUUGUAAAGCACUUUCGCUUGUGAACAAGGAAUAUUAGCUAAUAACUAGUAAACUUGAGAGUAGCAGGUAAAGAAGCACCGGCUAACUCCGUGCCAGCAGCUGCGGUAAUACGGAGGGUGCAAGCAUUAAUCGGAAUUAUUGGGCGUGAAGAGCGCGUAGGUGGAAAAGAAAGUUAGAUGUGAAAGCUUGGAGCUUAACUCCAAAAUUGCGUUUAAUACUUCUUUUCUAGAGGAUGGGCAGAGAAAGUGGAAUUCCACAUGUAGCGGUGAAAUGCGUAGAUAUGUGGAAGAACACCGGUGGCGAAGGCGACUUUCUGGCUUAUUCCUGACACUAAGGCGCGAAAGCAAGGGGAGCAAACA